GACGAACGCUGGCGGCGUGCUUAACACAUGCAAGUCGAACGGAAAGGCCCUGCUUGCAGGGUACUCGAGUGGCGAACGGGUGAGUAACACGUGGGUGAUCUGCCCUGCACUUCGGGAUAAGCUUGGGAAACUGGGUCUAAUACCGGAUAGGACCGCACUUUAGUGUGUGUGGUGGAAAGUUUUUUCGGUGUAGGAUGAGCUCGCGGCCUAUCAGCUUGUUGGUGGGGUAAUGGCCUACCAAGGCGGCGACGGGUAGCCGGCCUGAGAGGGUGUACGGCCACAUUGGGACUGAGAUACGGCCCAGACUCCUACGGGAGGCAGCAGUGGGGAAUAUUGCACAAUGGGCGCAAGCCUGAUGCAGCGACGCCCGUGGGGGAUGAAGGCCUUCGGGUUGUAAACUCCUUUCGCUAGGGACGAAGCUUUUUGUGACGGUACCUAGAUAAGAAGCACCGGCUAACUACGUG
RNAcentral lists this ribosomal RNA (464 nucleotides) under uncultured bacterium. RNAcentral's name for it is "partial 16S ribosomal RNA". It matches the Rfam family "Bacterial small subunit ribosomal RNA", at positions 28 to 507 of the family's 1533-position model. The record is from RNAcentral.